CCUACGGGAGGCAGCAGUAGGGAAUAUUGCUCAAUGGGGGAAACCCUGAAGCAGCAACGCCGCGUGGAGGAUGAAGGUUUUCGGAUUGUAAACUCCUUUUGUUAGAGAAGAUAAUGACGGUAUCUAACGAAUAAGCACCGGCUAACUCCGUGCCAGCAGCCGCGGUAAUACGGAGGGUGCAAGCGUUACUCGGAAUCACUGUGCGUAAAGAGCGCGUAGGCGGGAUAGCAAGUCAGAUGUGAAAUCCUAUGGCUUAACCAUAGAACUGCAUUUGAAACUGUUAGUCUAGAGUAUGGGAGAGGUAGGUGGAAUUCUUGGUGUAGGGGUAAAAUGCGUAGAGAUCAAGAGGAAUACUCAUUGCGAAGGCGACCUGCUAGAACAUAACUGACGCUGAUGCGCGAAAGCGUGGGGAGCAAACAGGAUUAGAUACCCGGGUAGUC
RNAcentral lists this ribosomal RNA (440 nucleotides) under uncultured bacterium. Its description in RNAcentral is "partial 16S ribosomal RNA". It matches the Rfam family "Bacterial small subunit ribosomal RNA", at positions 338 to 795 of the family's 1533-position model. The record is from RNAcentral.